CCUACGGGAGGCAGCAGUGAGGAAUAUUGGUCAAUGGCCGAGAGGCUGAACCAGCCAAGUCGCGUGAAGGAAGACGGCCCUACGGGUUGUAAACCUCUUUUGUCAGGGAACAAAGAGAGUCACGUGUGACUCAUUGAGAGUACCCGAAGAAUAAGGAUCGGCUAACUCCGUGCCAGCAGCCGCGGUAAUACGGAGGAUGCGAGCGUUAUCCGGAUUUAUUGGGUUUAAAGGGUGCGCAGGGGGGGGUGAAAGUCAGCGGUAAAAUUGCGGGGCUCAACCCCGUACUGCCGUUGAAACUGCAUCCCUUGAGUGCGCGAGAGGUAUGCGGAAUGCGUGGUGUAGCGGUGAAAUGCAUAGAUAUCACGAAGAACUCCGAUUGCGAAGGCAGCAUACCGGCGCGCAACUGACGUUCAUGCACGAAAGCGUGGGUAUCGAACAGGAUUAGAUACCCCAGUAGUC
This 459-nucleotide ribosomal RNA is filed under the name uncultured bacterium. RNAcentral describes it as "partial 16S ribosomal RNA". It matches the Rfam family "Bacterial small subunit ribosomal RNA", at positions 338 to 795 of the family's 1533-position model. The record is from RNAcentral.